UACGUAGGGUGCGAGCGUUGUCCGGAAUCACUGGGCGUAAAGGGCGCGUAGGUGGCUCGUGAAGCGUGCGGUGAAAGUCCGAGGCUCAACCUCGGAUCGGCCGUGCGGACUCGCGGGCUCGAGCGUGUAGAGGCGGGUGGAAUUCCGGGUGUAGCGGUGGAAUGCGUAGAGAUCCGGAAGAACACCGGUGGCGAAGGCGGCCCGCUGGGCAACUGCUGACACUGGAUGCGCGACAGCGGUGGGGAGCAAACAGG
This 254-nucleotide ribosomal RNA is filed under the name uncultured bacterium. RNAcentral's name for it is "partial 16S ribosomal RNA". It matches the Rfam family "Bacterial small subunit ribosomal RNA", at positions 524 to 776 of the family's 1533-position model. The record is from RNAcentral.